GACGAACGCUGGCGGCGCGCUUAACACAUGCAAGUCGAGCGAGAACCGGAGCUUCGGCUCCGGGGACAGCGGCGAACGGGUGAGUAACACGUGGGUAAUCUGCCCUCGGUUCCGGGAUAGCCCGGGGAAACUCGGAUUAAUACCGGAUAGCCUCUCUGGCCUUCGGGCCGGCGAGAAAAGGUAGCUUCGGCCUCCGACCGAGGAUGAGCCCGCGGCGGAUUAGCUUGUUGGCGGGGUAACGGCCCACCAAGGCGACGAUCCGUAGCUGGUCUGAGAGGACGAUCAGCCACACUGGGACUGAGACACGGCCCAGACUCCUACGGGAGGCAGCAGUGGGGAAUCUUGCGCAAUGGGCGAAAGCCUGACGCAGCGACGCCGCGUGAGGGAAGAAGGCCUUCGGGUUGUAAACCUCUUUCAGGCGGGACGAAGCCACUCGGGUGAACAGCCCAGAGGGUGACGGUACCGUCAGAAGAAGCCCCGGCUAACUACGUGC
This 493-nucleotide ribosomal RNA is filed under the name uncultured bacterium. Its description in RNAcentral is "bacterial SSU rRNA". It matches the Rfam family "Bacterial small subunit ribosomal RNA", at positions 28 to 508 of the family's 1533-position model. The record is from RNAcentral.